CAAUAGCGUAUAUUAAAGUUGUUGCAGUUAAAAAGCUCGUAGUUGGAUUUGUGGCUGUCACGGGCGGCCUAUCACUUAGUGUUAGUGCUUGCCUGUGUCGCCAUCCUUGGGUGGAGCCCGUGUGGCAUUAGGUUGUCGUGCGGGGGAUGCCCAUCGUUUACUGUGAGAAAAUUAGAGUGUUCAAAGCAGGCUUAUGCCGUCGAAUAUGUUAGCAUGGAAUAAUAAGAUAGGACCUCGGUACUAUUUUGUUGGUUUGCGCACCGAGGUAAUGAUUAAUAGGGACAGUUGGGGGUAUUCGUAUUUCAUUGUCAGAGGUGAAAUUCUUGGAUUUCUGAAAGACGAACUACUGCGAAAGCAUUUACCAAGGAUGUUUUCAUUAA
Molecule: ribosomal RNA, 380 nt
Filed under: uncultured eukaryote
Lineage: Eukaryota
Description: partial 18S ribosomal RNA
Rfam family: Eukaryotic small subunit ribosomal RNA
Source: RNAcentral